RNAcentral lists this non-coding RNA (28 nucleotides) under Homo sapiens (human). Lineage: Eukaryota; Metazoa; Chordata; Mammalia; Primates; Hominidae. The record is from RNAcentral.
UGAAAACACCACCCACUGCAGUAACUGA